UUACAGUCGAGUUCGUAGAUCUUAGAUAUUGGAACGUCGAAGAAGAUAGGUCGUAUCGGUUCGCUAGUCGUAAGAACCAAACUCGUUUGUUAGUUAAUGUGCAGUCUUCCGUGUAUAUUUCCCAAAUAUGAUACAACUUAGAAUUUAUCUGAUUUGUUUCAAAAUUUUAUAAAACAAAUAUUGUUAUCUUUGAAUUUGAUUUGCUUUUAUCACAAUAAUUGUUUCUGGAAUUUCAAACACGCACACGACAAUAUUGAGGAGCCUUUCGACGAUACCUUCGCCUUGAAGUAGUUUCCUUCGCCGAGAAAAUGACCAUCCCAUUAAUUAAAUUCUUUUCUACUAUAAAUUCGAUUUUUCGUUGAAACAACCAUAAUCGCCGAAGUCCAACGAUGAUGAUGACGACGAUGAAGAAAGUAAUUUUCUUAUUUUGGUGAUACAGGAUCGCAGGAGCGUAUAUUAGAUGGAUUUUCAGUGAGAGAUCGUCGAUCAUAUAUACCUCUUUUCAACGAUGAGUCUCCAAGGAUCGAAAGUAACGAAAGCUUCAGAUAAGUUCGUCUUUUCGAGUCGAUUUAAAGGAUCUGUCAGGUUCUAGCGUUAAUAAUAAAGAGUAAAAGGAUGAUAAAAGCGAGGGGAAAGAGGAAUUGAAGGGAAGAGAUUUAUCUUCGUAUUAUAUAUAUAUAUAUAUAUAUAUAUA
Long non-coding RNA from Vespa velutina, 694 nucleotides. RefSeq lists it as uncharacterized. The record is from RefSeq and is a predicted model, not a curated record. Lineage: Eukaryota; Metazoa; Arthropoda; Insecta; Hymenoptera; Vespidae. The transcript has 3 exons.